UACGUAGGGCGCGAGCGUUGUCCGGAAUUAUUGGGCGUAAAGAGCUCGUAGGCGGCCUGUUGCGUCCGCUGUGAAAUCCCGGGGCUUAACCCCGGGCGUGCAGUGGAUACGGGCUGGCUGGAGGCAGGCAGGGGAGAUCGGAAUUCCUGGUGUAGCGGUGAAAUGCGCAGAUAUCAGGAGGAACACCGGUGGCGAAGGCGGAUCUCUGGGCCGUAACUGACGCUGAGGAGCGAAAGCAUGGGGAGCGAACAGG
Molecule: ribosomal RNA, 253 nt
Filed under: uncultured bacterium
Lineage: Bacteria
Description: partial 16S ribosomal RNA
Rfam family: Bacterial small subunit ribosomal RNA
Source: RNAcentral